This 254-nucleotide ribosomal RNA is filed under the name uncultured bacterium. RNAcentral describes it as "partial 16S ribosomal RNA". It matches the Rfam family "Bacterial small subunit ribosomal RNA", at positions 524 to 776 of the family's 1533-position model. The record is from RNAcentral.
GACGGAGGGUGCUAGCGUUGUUCGGAAUCACUGGGCGUAAAGGGCGCGUAGGCGGCCCAUGCCGUCGGCUCGUGAAAGCCCGGGGCUCAACCCCGGAGGCGCGGCCGAGACCCAUGGGCUGGAGGCCGGAAGAGGAGGGUGGAAUACCCAGUGUAGAGGUGAAAGUCGUAGAUAUUGGGUGGAACACCGGUGGCGAAAGCGGCUCUCUGGUCCGGUUCUGACGCUAUGGCGCGAAAGCGUGGGGAGCAAACAGG